CACGUAGGGGGCAAGCGUUGUCCGGAUUUAUUGGGCGUAAAGAGCUCGUAGGCGGCUUAGUAAGUCGGGUGUGAAACCUCCAGGCUCAACCUGGAGACGCCACCCGAUACUGCUGUGGCUAGAGUCCGGUAGGGGAGCGUGGAAUUCCUGGUGUAGCGGUGAAAUGCGCAGAUAUCAGGAAGAACACCCGUGGCUAAGGCGGCUCUCUAGUACGGUACUGACGCUGAGACGCGAAAGCGUGGGGAGCGAACAGG
RNAcentral lists this ribosomal RNA (254 nucleotides) under uncultured bacterium. RNAcentral describes it as "partial 16S ribosomal RNA". It matches the Rfam family "Bacterial small subunit ribosomal RNA", at positions 524 to 776 of the family's 1533-position model. The record is from RNAcentral.